RNAcentral lists this ribosomal RNA (283 nucleotides) under Serratia marcescens. RNAcentral's name for it is "partial 16S ribosomal RNA". It matches the Rfam family "Bacterial small subunit ribosomal RNA", at positions 1051 to 1335 of the family's 1533-position model. The record is from RNAcentral. Lineage: Bacteria; Pseudomonadati; Pseudomonadota; Gammaproteobacteria; Enterobacterales; Yersiniaceae.
GUCGUCAGCUCGUGUUGGGAAAUGAUGGGUUAAAUCCCGCAACGAGCGCAACCCUUAUCCUUUGUUGCCAGCGGUUCGGCCGGGAACUCAAAGGAGACUGCCAGUGAUAAACUGGAGGAAGGUGGGGAUGACGUCAAGUCAUCAUGGCCCUUACGAGUAGGGCUACACACGUGCUACAAUGGCGUAUACAAAGAGAAGCGACCUCGCGAGAGCAAGCGGACCUCAUAAAGUACGUCGUAGUCCGGAUUGGAGUCUGCAACUCGACUCCAUGAAGUCGAAUCGC